Molecule: transfer RNA, 83 nt
Filed under: Danio rerio (zebrafish)
Lineage: Eukaryota; Metazoa; Chordata; Actinopteri; Cypriniformes; Danionidae
Rfam family: tRNA
About the family: Transfer RNA (tRNA) molecules are approximately 80 nucleotides in length. Their secondary structure includes four short double-helical elements and three loops (D, anti-codon, and T loops).
Source: Rfam by way of RNAcentral
ACCAGGAUGGCCGAGUGGUUAAGGUGUUGGACUUAAGAACCAAUGGACAAGUGUCCUCGUGGGUUCAAACCCCACUCCUGGUA